Molecule: long non-coding RNA, 1038 nt
Filed under: Numida meleagris (helmeted guineafowl)
Lineage: Eukaryota; Metazoa; Chordata; Aves; Galliformes; Numididae
Description: lncRNA (ENSNMEG00000002466.1)
Source: RNAcentral
CAUGGGGGUGUCCCUGUCUCACUGUCCCCAUGUGGGUGUCCCUGUGUUGGCAUCCCCGUGUCACUGUCCCCACGUGGGUGUCCCCGUGUCAUUGUCCCCAUCUGGGUGUCCCCAUGUCACUGUCCCCAUCUGGGUGUCCCCAUGUCACUGUCCCCAUGUGGGUGUCCCCAUGUGGGUGUCCCUGUGUUGGCAUCCCCAUGUCACUGUCCCCAUCUGGGUGUCCCUGUCUCAGUGUCCCCAUGUCACUGUCCCCAUGUGGGUGUCCCCAUGUUGGCAUCCCCAUGUCACUGUCCCCAUGUCACUGUCCCCAUGUCGCUGCCACUGUGCAGGUGUCCCCAUCUCAAUGUCCACAUGGGGGUGUCCCCAUGUCACUGUCCCCACGUGGGUGUCCCCAUAUGGGUGUCCCUGUGUGAAUGUCCCUAUGUCACUGUCCCCAUGGGGGUGUCCCCAUGUCAAUAUCCCCAUGUCAGUGCCCCCAUGCAGGUGUCCCCGUGUCACUGUCCCCACGUAGGUGUCCCCAUUAUGGGUGUCCUGUCUCAAUGUCCCCAUGUCAGUGCCCCCAUCUCAGUGUCCCCAUGUCACUGUCCCCACGUGGGUGUCCCCAUAUGGGUGUCCCUGUGUGAAUGUCCCUAUGUCACUGUCCCCAUGGGGAUGUCCCCAUGUCAGUGUCCCCAUGUCAGUGUCCCCAUGCAGGUGUCCCUGUCUCAAUGUCCCCGUGUCACUGUCCCCAUGUGGAUGUCCCCAUGUGGGUGUCCCUGUGUCACUGUCCCCAUCUGGGUGUCACCAUCUGGGUGUCCCCAUCUAGGUGUCCCCGUGUCAGUGUCCCCAUGCAGGUGUCCCCGUCUCAAUGUCCCCGUGUCACUGUCCCCAUGCGGGUGUCCCCAUCUGGGUGUCCCUGUGUCACUGUCCCCAUCUGGGUGUCACCAUCUGGGUGUCCCCAUGCGGGUGUCCCCAUGUCAGUGUCCCCAUCUGGGUGUCCCCGUGUCACUGUCCCCAUGUGGGUGUCCCUGUGUCCAUGUCCCCAUGGGGGUGUCCCCA